CCCAUUAUCCAAUCAACUUUGUUGUGCCCUCUACAAUGAUUCCUGGGGCAUUGAUGAUGGACACGAUACUAUUGUUGACCCGUAACUGGAUGAUCACAGCGUUGCUCGGUGGCGGAUGCUUUGGACUGUUUUUUUAUCCGGGCAACUGGCCAAUCUUUGGACCGACUCACCUUCCAUUAGUAGUAGAAGGAGUAUUACUCUCAGUAGCUGACUACACUGGAUUCCUUUAUGUUCGUACUGGUACGCCUGAGUAUGUGCGGUUAAUCGAACAAGGGUCGCUACGUACCUUUGGUGGCCACACCACGGUAAUUGCUGCGUUCUUCGCGGCUUUUGUAUCCAUGCUGAUGUUCGUUGUCUGGUGGUACUUAGGAGCGUUCUAUUGCACCGCGUUUUAUUACGUCAAGGGUCCUAGAGGACGGAUAACAGAGAAGAUGGAUGUUACCGCUUUUGGU
RNAcentral lists this ribosomal RNA (452 nucleotides) under uncultured ammonia-oxidizing bacterium. RNAcentral's name for it is "partial 16S ribosomal RNA". The record is from RNAcentral.